UACGUAGGGUGCGAGCGUUGUCCGGAAUUAUUGGGCGUAAAGGGCUCGUAGGCGGUUUGUCGCGUCGGGAGUGAAAUCCACUGGCUUAACUGGUGGCUUGCUUUCGAUACGGGCAGACUAGAGUUCGGUAGGGGAGACUGGAAUUCCUGGUGUAGCGGUGAAAUGCGCAGAUAUCAGGAGGAACACCGGUGGCGAAGGCGGGUCUCUGGGCCGAUACUGACGCUGAGGAGCGAAAGCGUGGGGAGCGAACAGG
RNAcentral lists this ribosomal RNA (253 nucleotides) under uncultured bacterium. RNAcentral's name for it is "partial 16S ribosomal RNA". It matches the Rfam family "Bacterial small subunit ribosomal RNA", at positions 524 to 776 of the family's 1533-position model. The record is from RNAcentral.